CCUACGGGGGGCUGCAGUGGGGAAUAUUGGGCAAUGGGCGCAAGCCUGACCCAGCGACGCCGCGUGAGGGAAGACAGCCUUCGGGUUGUAAACCUCUGUUGCAGGGGAAGAAGGAAGUGACGGUACCCUGCGAGGAAGCUCCGGCUAACUACGUGCCAGCAGCCGCGGUAAUACGUAGGGAGCGAGCGUUGUCCGGAAUUACUGGGCGUAAAGGGCGCGUAGGCGGCGCUUCAAGUCGUCUGUCAAAUGGAAGGGCUUAACCCUUUUUCGCAGACGAAACUGGAGAGCUUGAGAAGCAGAGAGGCAAACAGAAUUCCUGGUGUAGCGGUGAAAUGCGUAGAUAUCAGGAAGAAUACCAGUGGCGAAGGCGGUUUGCUGGCUGCAUACUGACGCUGAAGCGCGAAAGCCAGGGGAGCAAACGGGCUUAGAUACCCCUGUAGUC
Molecule: ribosomal RNA, 442 nt
Filed under: uncultured Pyramidobacter sp.
Lineage: Bacteria; Thermotogati; Synergistota; Synergistia; Synergistales; Dethiosulfovibrionaceae
Description: bacterial SSU rRNA
Rfam family: Bacterial small subunit ribosomal RNA
Source: RNAcentral